GACCCGUAAUCCGGGUUGCGGACAGUGUCUGGUGGGUAGUUUGACUGGGGCGGUCUCCUCCUAAAGAGUAACGGAGGAGCACGAAGGUUGGCUAAUCCUGGUCGGACAUCAGGAGGUUAGUGCAAUGGCAUAAGCCAGCUUGACUGCGAGCGUGACGGCGCGAGCAGGUGCGAAAGCAGGUCAUAGUGAUCCGGUGGUUCUGAAUGGAAGGGCCAUCGCUCAACGGAUAAAAGGUACUCCGGGGAUAACAGGCUGAUACCGCCCAAGAGUUCAUAUCGACGGCGGUGUUUGGCACCUCGAUGUCGGCUCAUCACAUCCUGGGGCUGAAGUAGGUCCCAAGGGUAUGGCUGUUCGCCAUUUAAAGUGGUACGCGAGCUGGGUUUAGAACGUCGUGAGACAGUUCGGUCCCUAUCUGCCGUGGGCGCUGGAGAAUUGAGGGGGGCUGCUCCUAGUACGAGAGGACCGGAGUGGACGCAUCACUGGUGUUCGGGUUGUCAUGCCAAUGGCACUGCCCGGUAGCUAAAUGCGGAAGAGAUAAGUGCUGAAAGCAUCUAAGCACGAAACUUGCCCCGAGAUGAGUUCUCCCUGACUCCUUGAGAGUCCUGAAGGAACGUUGAAGACGACGACGUUGAUAGGCCGGGUGUGUAAGCGCAGCGAUGCGUUGAGCUAACCGGUACUAAUGAACCGUGAGGCUUAACCUU
Molecule: ribosomal RNA, 701 nt
Filed under: Escherichia coli
Lineage: Bacteria; Pseudomonadati; Pseudomonadota; Gammaproteobacteria; Enterobacterales; Enterobacteriaceae
Also listed under: 1 other name
Description: partial 23S ribosomal RNA
Rfam family: Bacterial large subunit ribosomal RNA
Source: RNAcentral